GUUGAUCGCAGUUAUAGUGCGCGUGUGCGGCAGAUCUCUCUUUUUCUGUUUUGGAAGGUGGUGGUCGGCUUGUUGCAGUUUUCACUGUGAAACCGGACCCACCUUUUCUCGAAGCAUCAUGCAGCUGUUUCUACAUGCUCAGAAAACCCACACUCUUGAUGUGACUGGGGAAGAGACCGUUGGGCAAAUUAAGGCCCAUGUUGAAUCCCUGGAAGGAGUCUCUGCUGUUGACCAAGUGAUCCUCUUGGCUGGCACUCCCUU
This is a long non-coding RNA of Rhincodon typus (whale shark), 261 nucleotides long. RefSeq lists it as uncharacterized. The transcript has 3 exons. NCBI's taxonomy places the organism in Eukaryota, Metazoa, Chordata, Chondrichthyes, Orectolobiformes, Rhincodontidae. The record is from RefSeq and is a predicted model, not a curated record.